UUUCAAAAGUAAUGCCGGUGUUGUGUCCAACUCUGUUUGGGGAUCUGUUUCCCCCUAGCCCCGCCCCCGGACAUACUUUCUUCCAGAAGUCUACAAUAUAAAGCUAACACUAAGUACAUUUAUAAUCGGAACUUAGUUGAUCUUACCUUAAGUGUCUUCAAUUAUCUGGAUGAGUUGUGACUUUUGUCUUGCUGUAACACGGUCCUGACAAGAGCAGAACAUCACAUGGACUACAAGCAGGAGACUCGAGCAUGGAGGGGAACCGCCGUCUGAUGUGAACUGCGCACGCGCGAGGAAUUUUUGUUCAGCUAGACAUCCAAAAACUCCUAUCCAGAUGUCUGAAUAUUGAACUGCAUAUCUACAUACAAGAGGGGUCAUAGACAGACAUUGUGUGCUGAUUUCACUUAUACCAGUGUCCCAGGCUCAAGGUGAUUUAUAUACAGUUUAUCCGUUAUAUUUUCUGCAUAUUUAAUUUGCUUUGAUGCUGAAAAGUUUCUGCACAAUUUAUUAAUUUGUUCCUUGUUUAUUAAUGCAGUUUUUAUAACUCUAAUCAAAAGAUGGCUGCAACAUCAGAUCUGAAUAAAUAGUUUUACACACAAAUAGUUUUACACUGCUUAAAUGUCUUAACAUAUUAAAUAUAAAACAGCACAAGUUUAAUGACAGCAGCACAAGAGAGCAACUGACAUCACUAGUGCUAAAUAAAAUGCUCCAUGAUGCCCCUGAUUUCUUAAUAUUAAGCAGGUUACACAUAUCAGUAUCAACAAGUAACAAAAACAUGUACUCACACUCACUCUAAACAUGAUAUUAGUAGUGUAGACUUACAUACAGGGAGGAGGAGACACUCAGGGGACUUACAGCUGGAAGAUAAAUAAUAAUGAACCCUAUAUAGAUGAAAGGGAGAGAGACUACACAGACAGCACAAGUCAGGAGUUCAGAAUCUGGUCUGUUGAAGACUCUGGAGAGACUCUCAGAGCUCAGAGAUCAGUUAUGCUGUUGAUCUGAUUUUGAGCUGUCAGUAACUGAGUCCUCAAACCCAGACUUAACUGUUUUGGCUGAAUGUAUGGGAACAUAAACAUCUUAAAAAAUGGCAUAAUUGUUUGAAACAACAUUUGGAUCAUAGCAUGCACCUGAUCACUUAGAAUUUCCAAAUACUUGGUGGCAGUAACAUGACCAUGUAGACUAAUGAUGUCACCAGCAGAAUAACAAGAUUAUGGCUGCCCAAAUCUUCACAGAUCCACCUCCCAUGUUUGACAGUUGGAACCAGACAGUCCAAGUUGUUCACUUCCUUGGUGGUUCUUCGUACAUAAACUCGACCUGCUGUUAGGAGUAAUAUAAAUGAUGAUUCAUCAGAUCAUAUCACUCAUUUCCUGUCUUCAGCUGUCCAGGUUUUAUGAUCAUGACACCAUCUUUUUUCGCAUUUUUGCAUUGGUGUCUGUGAUUAAGGCUUUGUGAAUUUCUCUGCAGAAUGUUUUUGUGGAAACAGGGUCUUUAAGGUGGAUAUUAAGUUCUACUCUCACUUUUGUUGCUGUAGUUCUGUGUUGUUUGGACGCAAUGUGUUCAACGGUCACUAUCAGUAAUUUUUAAAUUCCAGCCACUAUUCUUCUUCUCUGAUAAAGUCCUGCCAUGCUUUGUAUUACAGUCAUAAUC
Molecule: long non-coding RNA, 1647 nt
Organism: Hemibagrus wyckioides
Lineage: Eukaryota; Metazoa; Chordata; Actinopteri; Siluriformes; Bagridae
Exons: 3
Source: RefSeq, a predicted model, not a curated record